Panicum virgatum (switchgrass) is the source of this 707-nucleotide long non-coding RNA. RefSeq lists it as uncharacterized. The record is from RefSeq and is a predicted model, not a curated record. The transcript has 4 exons. Lineage: Eukaryota; Viridiplantae; Streptophyta; Magnoliopsida; Poales; Poaceae.
AUUACCAUUUGCGUAACCUCUUCACAUUUGGAAAUGGACAGGAGCUGUCAUACACCAAACUAAGUCUGUCGACCUGUGUAUAACACACAACUACACAAGUGGCAAGUGAGAGGCAACCUUCUAGCACCGGCAUACCCUUUAGUUCCAGCCAACAUGAGUGCCCUAGAAUUCCAGAGUCCAAAGGUUGGGAGUAGCCCCAGUGUCUACCGGAUGAUAACAAGGAAACUGAGUCUCCUCCUUUGCAACAAGCACAUCAAUGUGAAGUGGACUCGGAAGAGGUGGAACGGCAGAGAUCACAAACAGACGCCUGCCAAGCCAGCACCCAUCUCGGAAAGCGCGAACGAGAUGCCGGAACCAGCCGUGACCCCAAGCCUGGUGAUUCCAUACUCUGCAAACUGAAUGCCAUAGUAGCAGCCGUGUCAACUUCUCAGGCCGCAAGAUCAGCCGCAAGGCUCAGCAGCCAAGUGUUAGGAACCGGUGGCGCAAAUGAGACCCAGUGUCCUUCCAGACAAGCUAAAGAUCUUAUCCACCGGGAGCGUGUUAGCCCCUUGUUGCAGGACGGAAAUGAAACUUCGCACCGGUGGUUGUUUGGCGCUGUUGCGGAGCUGCUGGACAAUGCGGUAGACGAGGUGAACACCUCUUGUCCAUUGCCUAGCCUUGAUGGAACACAGAGCAGAUCUGCUACAUUCUUGACAAGUCCAUCCUCA